This 497-nucleotide ribosomal RNA is filed under the name uncultured bacterium. RNAcentral describes it as "partial 16S ribosomal RNA". It matches the Rfam family "Bacterial small subunit ribosomal RNA", at positions 28 to 507 of the family's 1533-position model. The record is from RNAcentral.
GAUGAACGCUGGCGGCGUGCCUAAUACAUGCAAGUCGAGCGAACGGACGAGAAGCUUGCUUCUCUGACGUUAGCGGCGGACGGGUGAGUAACACGUGGAUAACCUACCUAUAAGACUGGGAUAACUUCGGGAAACCGUAGCUAAUACCGGAUAAUAUUUUGAACCGCAUGGUUCAAAAGUGAAAGACGGUCUUGCUGUCACUUAUAGAUGGAUCCGCGCUGCAUUAGCUAGUUGGUAAGGUAACGGCUUACCAAGGCAACGAUGCAUAGCCGACCUGAGAGGGUGAUCGGCCACACUGGAACUGAGACACGGUCCAGACUCCUACGGGAGGCAGCCGUAGGGAAUCUUCCGCAAUGGGCGAAAGCCUGACGGAGCAACGCCGCGUGAGUGAUGAAGGUCUUCGGAUCGUAAAACUCUGUUAUUAGGGAAGAACAAAUGUGUAAGUAACUGUGCACAUCUUGACGGUACCUAAUCAGAAAGCCACGGCUAACUACGUG